GACAGAGGGUGCAAACGUUGUUCGGAAUUAUUGGGCGUAAAGAGCUCGUAGGCGGUGUGUCGCGUCGGCCGUGAAAACCUGCAGCUUAACUGUGGGCUUGCGGUCGAUACGGGCAUCACUGGAGUUCGGCAGGGGAGACUGGAAUCCUGGUGUAGCGGUGAAAUGCGCAGAUAAUCAGGAGGAACACCGGUGGCGAAGGGCGGGGUCUCUGGGCCGAUACUGACGCUGGAGGAGCGAAAGCGUGGGGAGCGAAC
This 254-nucleotide ribosomal RNA is filed under the name uncultured bacterium. RNAcentral's name for it is "partial 16S ribosomal RNA". It matches the Rfam family "Bacterial small subunit ribosomal RNA", at positions 524 to 773 of the family's 1533-position model. The record is from RNAcentral.